This 415-nucleotide ribosomal RNA is filed under the name uncultured prokaryote. RNAcentral's name for it is "bacterial SSU rRNA". It matches the Rfam family "Bacterial small subunit ribosomal RNA", at positions 505 to 918 of the family's 1533-position model. The record is from RNAcentral.
GUGUCAGCCGCCGCGGUAAUACGGAGGGUGCAAGCGUUGUUCGGAAUCACUGGGCGUAAAGGGUGCGCAGGCGGCCACGUAAGUCUGAUGUGAAAUCCCGGGGCUCAACCCCGGAACUGCAUUGGAAACUGCAUGGCUCGAGUACGGGAGAGGAAAGCGGAAUUCCUGGUGUAGAGGUGAAAUUCGUAGAUACCAGGAGGAACACCGGUGGCGAAGGCGGCUUUCUAGACCGAUACUGACGCUGAGGCACGAAAGCGUGGGGAGCAAACAGGAUUAUAUACCCUGGUAUUCCACGCCCUAAGCGAUGACAACUAGAUGGCGCAGGUAUUUACCCCCGCGGUGCCGUCGCUAACGCAUUAAGUUGUCCGCCUGGGGAGUACGGUCGCAAGAUUAAAACUCAAAUGAAUUGACGGGG